RNAcentral lists this long non-coding RNA (720 nucleotides) under Mytilus galloprovincialis (Mediterranean mussel). The record is from RNAcentral. Lineage: Eukaryota; Metazoa; Mollusca; Bivalvia; Mytilida; Mytilidae.
AGGUUUUUUACAAUAUAAAUCAAUUGCUUUAAAAAAGCAAUUGUAGGGGGUCUUUCCCCCUUUAAAAUUAAUUGAAUUUGGGGGGGGGGGGUUUGUUUGUUUGUUUGUUUGUUUGUUUCUGUAUGGGGUCGAUAUUAUUGUUACCGGAGAAGUUUCAUGUUUAGUUUGGAAAGUUUUUAUUUUAUUUUAGGUCCAGCGCGCGCGCCAGAUGGGGAAGACAUCACGUGACUUGGGUUUAUAAUAACGAAAACUUAGUAUUUUUAUUUCUCUUUAGGUCGGGAUGUUGAACAGACAACAUGUAUAGAGACGGAAUGUACACAAUGUAAUUUCUUUUGUCAUUGUAGGAAAUUGACAUUUUGAUCACAGUUCACCAGCAGUGCAUGUUUUGGAUUUAAUUGUUCCGGUGUAACUUUAAUACACAUUUAAUGAUUAUUUUCUUAAAAUGUACAUUUUUCAGCACCAGUUUGUAACACAGAUUAGUAUUUUAAUCUAGGAGCGGACAUUUUAUUGUAGGAUGUCACUGAGAUUUACGGACCUAGCAAGCGAUUUUUACAGCAUUGCCAUUUUUUUUCUCUAGGAAAAGUCUUGAGAGAUAUCCGCACCAAGUUUUUUUAUGAACCUUUAGUACAUGUAUGCCCUGCUGCCUGCAAAUUUUCAGGUCGAUUGGACUUGUAGUUUCAGAGUACAUGUGGAUUUUUUUUUCAGAAGUUACGCAAGAAC